UAGGGAAUCUUCGGCAAUGGGGGCAACCCUAACCGAGCAACGCCGCGUGAGUGAAGAAGGUUUUCGGAUCGUAAAGCUCUGUUGUAAGAGAAGAACGUGUGUGAGAGUGGAAAGUUCACACCGUGACGGUAACUUACCAGAAAGGGACGGCUAACUACGUGCCAGCAGCCGCGGUAAUACGUAGGUCCCGAGCGUUGUCCGGAUUUAUUGGGCGUAAAGCGAGCGCAGGCGGUUUAAUAAGUCUGAAGUUAAAGGCAGUGGCUUAACCAUUGUUCGCUUUGGAAACUGUUAAACUUGAGUGCAGAAGGGGAGAGUGGAAUUCCAUGUGUAGCGGUGAAAUGCGUAGAUAUAUGGAGGAACACCGGUGGCGAAAGCGGCUCUCUGGUCUGUAACUGACGCUGAGGCUCGAAAGCGUGGGGAGCAAACAGG
This 429-nucleotide ribosomal RNA is filed under the name bacterium. RNAcentral describes it as "partial 16S ribosomal RNA". It matches the Rfam family "Bacterial small subunit ribosomal RNA", at positions 355 to 776 of the family's 1533-position model. The record is from RNAcentral.